This 385-nucleotide long non-coding RNA is filed under the name Salmo salar (Atlantic salmon). Its description in RNAcentral is "lncRNA (ENSSSAG00000099743.1)". Lineage: Eukaryota; Metazoa; Chordata; Actinopteri; Salmoniformes; Salmonidae. The record is from RNAcentral.
CGGGUCCCGUCCCCCAGUCUCUCUCGGGUCCCGUCCCCCAGUCUCUCUCGGGUCCGGUCCCCCAGUCUCUCUCGGGUCCGGUCCCCCAGUCUCUCUCGGGUCCAGUCCCGUCUCUCUCAGGUCCAGUCCCGUCCCCCGUCCCCCUCAGGUCCAGUCCCCAGUCUCUCUCAGGUCCGGUCCCGUCCCCACCAGAGCCAGUCAGUCAGUGCCGCGUGGCCUCUAUCGCCUCCUGGUGGACAGAGUGGAGGUAGUACGGCUCAGGCUGAGCCCAGGGAAGUGAACUGUAGGGGUUCUGGGUGUGGGACCGUAGAGACCCAGGUUACGGGCUGCAGAUGAACGUCUGUGCUGUUUCACACUCGGGAAGGGAGAGAACACCUGACGGGAG